GCUCCUAUAGUUCAACGGAUAGAAUAAUCGGCUACGAACCGAUUGAUUCCGGUUCAAAUCCGGAUAGGAGAA
This 72-nucleotide transfer RNA is filed under the name Lachnoanaerobaculum saburreum DSM 3986. Its description in RNAcentral is "tRNA-Arg". It matches the Rfam family "tRNA". Rfam says of the family: Transfer RNA (tRNA) molecules are approximately 80 nucleotides in length. Lineage: Bacteria; Bacillati; Bacillota; Clostridia; Lachnospirales; Lachnospiraceae. The record is from RNAcentral.